GCACACUGGCCUGUGCUUACGGCAGGCCUCCACCCGCCUGUCUGUCAAAAGACUACACAUUGGAACAUGUCAUCUAACAAUGCUGCAGCAUCUCACCCGGCAAUCGUUUGAGGGGAAGCGCUGGCUUCCAGCGCCUCUUACAUGGAUGGUGCAGGGAGGACUCCUGACUGCAGAUAAAGGCAUACGCUUUGGAUCUCUGGAGACGCAGAAAUCAUGUUUAUGCAAACUCCAUCCUUAGCCCAAGGAGGAAAGAAGCCUAGAAGACAGGGAAGAGAUGCCCGCGCCACGGCGCCCAGUCCUACCUUUCCCAGAGGGCAGCCUGGUGGAGCCACGUGGAAGGAAGGGCGGGCAUGACAAGACCCUCAGCUUCCUGCUCCAACUCCAACCCUGCCUCACGCGUCUCCUCAUCCCCUCCAGGCUCGGGGGCCGGGCUGCUGAGCCUUCAAGAGAAUGCAAGAGCCACCCGUCCCUUCUCUCGUGACAAUAAAUGGGAGACUAAUAUUAGCCAAAUGCAACCCUUUUAGCUUUACAUCGCCUGGUAUGCUCACAAGCACGCCUGGAAAGUUCAUCACAAAUUGGUGCAUUCAUAAGAGCCAUAAGCCCGCAGCUUCUGGGUGAGAGCAGACAAAAUGCUACUUCUUUUUUGCAGAUGGAACAGAUGGGCUGGCUUGGCCCUCUGCAUUGCGUGUGUUGCCUGUAUGUUGUCUUUUCCCAAAAGCAAAUUGCAAAAAGAAAAUGGCUUUCUGCUGGGGGCCCAGCAAUUAGGAACCCUCCUUCCAGCAGAAGGAGGCAGAGAGGAGGGUAUAGGUGGGGCCAGGGAGGGCAAUGAGAAGAAAAGGGAAUGGGCUUAGGGGGCUGGGGGCUGCUAUUCAUCAGUUUCAAACCUUCUGGUCCAGAGAAAUCGGUGGGAACAUCACAGGAAAUUCUAAGGGACACGCUCUGUGUCCAUCGGCCUGAGGUGCGUGUCAUAGCAAGCCCUUCCCAGGAAUAAUUUCUAGGAAACUGGGCUGCAUUGAAACAUGUCUUGGAAAUGGAUCUUCUUUCCUCAGAAGAUGAUCUACCUCAUUCCCUGUUUCCUCCAAAACAUCAGCUUUCUUUGUGUGUCUCUUGGCUGAUUUCUUUAAAGUUGCUGAUGGGUU
This 1139-nucleotide long non-coding RNA is filed under the name Homo sapiens (human). Its description in RNAcentral is "HSALNT0402386". The record is from RNAcentral. Lineage: Eukaryota; Metazoa; Chordata; Mammalia; Primates; Hominidae.